Molecule: long non-coding RNA, 19405 nt
Organism: Gallus gallus (chicken)
Lineage: Eukaryota; Metazoa; Chordata; Aves; Galliformes; Phasianidae
Source: Ensembl
AAACCCCAGUUCUGGCUUUGAAUUCAGACUGGGGCUGGAACUGUUUACUGAAGCUGAAUCCCAGCAAAACAGCAGCAUAACAACGGUAAAACUGUCUCGAGAAAUACCAAGAAUAUUUUUUCCCUACUUCUGGAGCAACCCAGUGAUGUAAUACAAUGGUUUUCAGUGAUGGAAAUGGGGCUGGAUUUCAAAUGAUUUAGAAGCCCAUUCAAUAAGAGGUUGAAGCACAUGCUUAAGUCAAAACACAUGAGUGCACCAGAACUACUCAUGAGCUCAAAAGUAAGAUACCUGUUGCUGAGCUGGAGCCUUAGGGUACAGCUUGAAGUUGAGGCUAAACUAAUGUAGAGUUAGUGUUGCUGGAAGUGAUUGGUCCUCUCCUGGUUUUCUUCCCUGCAGUGGCUCACGCUGCAGUGAGACAAAUGCUAUUGGUACAACAACAAAUUGGAAGCAACACUGUUGCUUCCCCAGCAACAUGAAGAAGUAUUUGUCUUAUAAAAACAGGAGAAGUCUCAGUUAAUACCGAGAGUCAGUGGAGAAGUGCUGGAGCGAAUUUCUGUACUAACGUGAAGUCCAUGAUGGAUUUCAUGAGCUGCAGCCUGCUAGAGAAUGAAGUAAGGGGAACAAGUAUUUUCCUUAGGUUUAAUAUGUUGUGCCCAUUGGAUCGCAGCCUCUCAAUGACAGUCCAGCUUUUGACAGACGGCCUCAUUUAUCCUUGCUCAUACCCAGCUCUGCUCUGCUGGCAUUGUGCACUCCUGUAGGGCUUUUUUUUGGGGGGUAGAGGUUGGAAUUAGCCUGACUUGAACAACUAGGCUGAGGAACACUGAACAGUAAAAUAAAGUCCUGAUGACAUAUUUGAACUCUUGUAGACCAUGGGUUAUCUGAUCUGCAAGGUCACUGCUAUUCUCUGGGAAAGUUUGAAAGAAUCUGCUCUCGUUUCAAGCUUAAAGGGCCCUUCUUGACAACAUGAGGAUGCAGAUUCACUUUGUCUGAACUAUAUGCAUAGGUGAAUGUUUCAGAGUAUUUACUACCUGUAUAUUUUUUUCUUUCCUUUGCAUUUAGAAGCUCAUCAAAGGCAGACAGCAUAGAGUUUGUUUUAAUAAAGAGAAAGAAAAAUUGACUCCGACAAGACUACCAAAACCAACUGAAAUGCGGGAAGGAAAACUGUCAUGUAAAAGUGAGAGACCUAAAAAGAACUUUAAAAUUCCUCUUAAUAAUUUAAACUGUCAGCAGCAGCAGAAAUCAGGAAUUAUAUUUCAGACGCAACUUAUGCCAGGCAUGUCUUAAAAAGGGAAAGACAAAGACAAAUUGAUAAUGCCUGAAGAGGCUGUCCCUGGGAAUAAGAAGUGCAGGGUUCGGCCCUGGAAAGCCAAGCAUCUUUUCCACUCUUCUGUCUGUAAAAGAGAGGAAUGAUGGUCCUUGGUCUUAGUGACUCUAACAGAUGCAGUCGGGGAAGCAGUAGGAAAAUAACAUCAUUAAAACUUCUGUCUUUCUGUAUUUAUGAAAAGUCAGGUUUGUGCCUUGCUCUAAAUGUUUGAGGCUAUUACAGUACAAAGAUUUGGUAUUAAUAUGAUUAGGUUAACAGUAUUUUUUCUGUAAUACGUAUCAUGAAGUCCUGUCAGAAUGAAAUUCAAUGCUAAAAACAUCAAAUAAUAGCUUUCACAGACCAUUAAUGCUUAAGGCUCCAGCGUGGGAGUUAUUAUUACAAAAGGACCCUGAAAUGCUGCUAGCUCUUACUCUUACAUCAGAAUAUACCUUAAGUUAGAGGUAUUUUCCCCCCAGGCUUUGUUUGCUCCAAUAUGAUGUAAGCUCUUGCUCUGACUGUUACGUUGGUAAACAGACCGGCUUAGCUUUGUGGCUGGGUUCUUGCAGUAAAGCCAGGAUCGUGGAGGAGGGAUUGGAGGGGUUGUUCCCAUCCUCCCACAGGGAUCUGAAUGCACAAACUCUUGGCCACUUCGUCCUUGCUGGCUGUGGCAGGCAAUCGCUCCGUCUUUUCCAGACCCUCCAUUGCCUUCGGUGGCGGUGCUGUGCAGCAGGAUGGGCGGCGGUGUCCCUUGUUGGUGUCCCUCAUGCCACCAUGUGUACUGCAGGGAGCAGUGAUGGUUCAUGCCCUCCCCUGAGGGACUGCAAGUUUAAUGUCCUUAAGGAACGUGUAGUUUAUGCAUACAGUGCUGUGCAUUACCCAAGCCAUUCAGAUUUCUCACCUCCCUGCAGGAAUGUGGAUUUGAAUCCAUUUAUUUGACUCCAGGUAGGUGGUAGAGUAUCUUGUGUUUUUCUCCAUGGGCUGAUCUUAUCUUGACAUAAGUCCACAGGUGUCCAUGAAGAUAUUUCAGAGCAGGAAGGAUUCAGUGCAAUGGAGUUAGACAGACUGAUAGCAAAAUGGGCGCUGGUGCCUUUGGUAGGAAUGCCUACUACUCUCCCUCAAUAAAAAGUUUAUGAUUAAUCACCAGAUUGAUUACAUUACCCUUUAAUUAAGAUCAUAAGUGCUGAAGAACUGGGACUUUGGUGUAGUUUUCCUUUGUUAUCUCUUCACCGUGGCUCUGCAAGUGUGACUUCUAAAUGCUUUAUCUGCCUAGGUCUGUAAUUUAUAGCCUGUAUUGGCCAUAAAAGAUCUUGCAUUGAUUUCCCCUUACUACAAUUGUUCCCACCCCUCUAACAGGGACCUGAGGUCACAUUCUUCCUUGCUAGUGCUUCCACAGCUGGAUCCAUUUUAAUGAAAAGCAAAAAUGUGGGUGAAAAUGUGUUGAUUUCAUUUAUAUAAGAAAGUUACCUUCCUUUUCCCUGGACCUGUUCCAUAGUUUUCCCUGGAGCUCUCAUACAGACACUUGUGGGAACUUCCACAGAAAGCUGCUGAUGCAGGCUGGGCAGCUGUCACAAGUGGUUUAUGGCCACUUUCCUCCUGAGGCAUUUGUUCUUCACAUAUCCAAAUCCUACAUUGGAUCCAGUCCUCAGUAAUGGGGAUGCUACUGCAGUGAGUGCAUCAGUGCUGAAACCCACCUGAAAUCUAAGCUGAAGCACCUUCAUAAGCCAUUCACUGCCUGGCAAGAGCCAGCCCCCAGCCAGAACAGGCUGAGACCUUUGAUGCUAUCAGUCUGGAGAUAAGGAGCAGAGUGGCCAGGCCAGCUGUUGGCUCUCACUGCAUGCCCGGUAGCCAGCCCUUAAGGCUCCUCACAGUGCUCUCAGGAAAUACCACUUUUUAACAUUUAGUUCAAGUGCAGACAGGCGUUGGAGUUGGGUAAGGAUGAGGCCACAGGUCUGUUACACCACUUUGGGGUCAAGUUUAGUACGUGGUCUCUGCCAGAUUUCAGCCACGCAGCCCAGGAACUCGGCUGGAAAUGCCACUCAGACACAGGCAUUGGUGCUCCCGUGCUUCUUCUCACCCAGAAAGCCGGGUCCUGGCCUCAGGCUGGAUCUUUCCUGCUCUUCCAGCGAGGGAAGCUGACGCAUUUAACGAGCCUUUUGCAUGCGCCAUCCCAGCUCCUCUUUGGAAGUCCUCUGCCCCCUUGCUCCAGCUGGCUGAGCCUCGCGCACCGUGGUUAUCUCAUCUCAUCUCAGUUAAGUGUUUCAGAUGCAAUUGCAUAUGGGUAUGCAGUUUCAGACUGGUUUCAAUAAUACGUAAUAAUAGUAAUGAUAGUGAUAACAAUACCUGAUGUUAUAGACGAGAAAAAUAAAACUAUUGUCUCAAAACAUAUCUGACAAGCAGUACAACGGUGUUACAUACUUGGAAGAGGGGGGAAUGGGAAUUACUUCACACGUUUCCCUCCCGUGAGCCUUGUCUAGCCUGCAUGUUACGUCGGGGAGACGGAAGCAUCUGCCUGAGAAAUGUGGCAUGAGCUCAGGUCGGGGCAACAGGCUGCCUCCCACACAGCCCAUUCAAAACGACGGCACUAUCAGAUGGAAAGAGGUUACAGACAUAGCGUAGUGUAUCAGUCUGUUAAGUAUCUUUGCAAUGGUUUCCCACAGCACUUCGCAGCUUGUUUAACGUAUCGCGAUUAACCAGUAAGCUCUGCAAGAACGUCUUACGGCCGCUGGAAAUACAAGAAGCAACCUCAAGGACCACAGCAGACGACAAACAUAAUAACGGACAGUAAGCCUGUAUCUGCUGCCUCUCCUGAAAGAUGCCCACGACUGGCAGGGUUCCAAAGUAUUGGAAGUUUAUUCCGAAUAUUUUUGUUUGAGAGCUUUCAGCAGCAGAGAUGUUGGUUGUUGCAGCGCGCCGGGUGAAACGUUGCAAAGCCACAAGGUUUCUCGCUGAGCACAGAAUAAUCAGUUAUCUGGCUGAUUCUGAGAAAAAAAAAAAAGUCUUGCUCGUGAACUGAGCGUAGCGAGAUCUUUCAGUUGAGUCUUUCUUCAGAUAUGACAGCUGGCAAAUGUCUUCUCCGGUGCGCCAGCUUGGCAAGAAAGUCAAACAGAGAAAACCAGCAUUUUUUAUUACACUUUUCACCUCCUCCUCGCCGUGCAUCUUUGCUUGUUUGCUGUUUGGCAGAGUUUGGCGAUUGCUAAUGGGAUUCGCCAACCUUGCAAGUGAGAAAGUUUCUCACCCUGUUAUCGAGAUCAAUGGUUUCCUCCAGUUCUAAUUGCAAAACACUUUCUUUAUCAUGAAAAUCUGAAAUUUCCAUAAAUAGCUUUCCCAAGGGCUAAGUAAGUGCUGAACAAAAACAAAAACAAAGGGAGAGGAAAUACAAUGAAAAUAAAUAACUUGAAUGCAAAGCCAUACCAAAGCCUGGAUUGUUUCAGGAGGAGAGUUUGGGAGGCACUGAGCACCUUGAGAGCUGAUCUGGGCACUGAUGAAGCUCAGCAUGGAAGUGCCAAAGCAUCCUACAAGCCCACUCAGAGCAGCCCGUCAGCUUUUCUUCUGGGGUCAGACUGUGACAAAGUCCAAGGCUGAUUCAACGCGGUAUUAAACCACGGGUUUCAGUUGUAGAGAUGAAGGAAAGACAAACUGGCAGAUGACAGAUAGCAGAAGUAUAUCUGAGGUGAAAUUUCUCGGUACCGAAAUGCUGGUAAACUAAAUGGCGCCUUUCCACAACUUAACUCCCCCAGAUCCAGAAUAGUUUACUGCGCGGGUCUCUGUCAUGCCAUAGAAACCUGACGUGCGGUAUGUCAGCAGUGAAGUAAUAUUGACAGACAAAUACGGCUAUUGUAUUCAUAAACGUUCGCUUUACAAAGCUAAGCACGUUGUAGCAAAAUAUCCUUAAUGCUAGCAUGAUAGACAGCAAUGUAAUCAUUGUCCUGGGUGAAUUGAGAACACAAACAAAAAUAGAUUAGCUAACAACUAAAUUGUAUUUAUCUUGCUUGACAGGGCUGGUUCAGUGAUGAGUCAUUCUCAGAUCUAAUGCCACCGCCAUCUCCAGUGUUGUUGGUAAUUGUUACUGCUGAGAGAAAAGGCUCUGACAGUCUGAAUGCUGAAGAAGCAAAGGAGCGCUAGUUUGCCUGGCGUGGGAGUGCUAGCAUUAGCCUGCCUGAGCCCCAGCAGAGGCAAUACACCAAUUAGCUGCAUACUUCCUUGAACUGUGCAGCUGGGGGCUCGGCCAGCUGGGGCCAUGGCAGGUCUGGUAGGGCUUUUAGGAGGGCAGAGUUGUUCUUCCAGGCAGGAUUGUGGCUGAGGGCCUGACACGUCUCCCACAUAAGCUGCCCCGUCCUCGUGCUGCUGCUGCUGCACAUCCCUCCCCAGCGCAGGCAGGGGUGAGAAGAGCCACAGCACAGAGGGCCCAUGAACUGCCACAUGAGCUCUGGGAAGCCCUGAGACACAGCCAAGGUGAUAUGCUUACAUGGUGAGGAGGAAACGCUGGGUGAGCUUCUCUGGGGAUUAGCAGCAUUCUACACUUCUGAUGGAGAGUAAUUAUCUUUUUGAAAACAAUUGUCAGAUUACUUUUAAAUAACAAAACUUUGCAAGGAGGUAGUCAGGUUCCAGGUAGAAACGUGUAAGGGAAAACAAAUAUUCACAGCAAGAACGGGCAUGAAAAAGAUCGGGCUUGAUGCUGAUCAAGUUCACAUCUGCUUGAAGGCCCAGCCCAAAGAGUGGUGGGGCAGCAGAGCCAAACUCAAUGGGAUGGCACGGCUGCCAGCCCCGUACAGGUGAGACCAAACUCAGAUCGCUAUCGUUUUGUGGUUUUCCUUUUUGCGUAUCGACAGGGAGGAAACGUGAAAGCCAUCAACUGUUGUGCAAAACAAAACACCCUGCCUAGGGUUGGCGGAGGCCGCCUGCCUGGGACUGCUGCAGGACAUGGCCACAGAGCAGGCCUCGAUUCAGGCUGCAGCGGGCACCGCGUGGCCUUGGGUUAGUUGUUGCCAGAGCAAAUUGGCCUGGUGGCUCCUGCACAGAGCCAGCCGGCCGUGUGCGACACCAGGGCUCAGCCAGGCAUGAAAAUAUAAAAUGAGAGAAUAAGUUAAACCACCACAUUCUUGGGGGAGAUGUUAAUGGGUGACAGCUAUCCCAUACCACCUCGGCCUCUGUUCUUUCAUCAGGAUCCAUUACUUAGUUUUUCUUUGUGUGCGCGAUGAUGCUUUCAUGAAAAACAAGCCUAUGGAAAUACUGAAUAGCAGUAGGUCAGAAGAAGUGAAGGAUGCAAAACUGCAGUUUUCCCAUGGCCUGAAAAUGACUCCCUCCCUGGCUUAGGGCAGCCACAGGUAUGCUGUUAAUUUUAAGUCCUCUUGCCAGAAGGCUAUAAAAUGUCUUUUCAUCUUACGUUACAUAAGUAUCCAACAAAUAAGAAGACUGUUAUUACAAAGGCAACCACACUGAAAAAAGGUUUCAUUUACUCUGAAAACCUGCAUUAAAAGACUUCUGAUGUCUCUAUGUAACGUUUAGGUUGCUGAGCACUUGGAGAGGAAAAUUCAUUGAAUUCUUCUUUAAAAAGAAAAAGGAAUUUAACCAGAAUCUGGGAUGCUACCAGGAACCACGUGAUUGAUCUUCAGUUAAGCAUUACGAUAACGUACUCUCUAAAGAUGAGUUCCCUUAGACUUCCAGCAUACCAGACAGCUUUCUGGAAAGCUAUGCUAAUAUUUAGCACCAAAUAACAAUCAAGCAUUCUAGCAAUCAUUCUGAACUAAACAAAACAUACAUCCAUAUGUCACAGAAGUGAAAACUGUGAGGUGCUAAAUGCAUCUUAAGAUGUGAAAAUACAACUUAGGCUGAGGAUGCUCAGGAAUUGAGAGAAAGUGCCCAGAAGACCCAGAAAGGGUCCUUAUAUGUUUCAUGGUCAAAUAAAAAAUUCUGCCUGGCUUCAUUGGUUGCUGAAUCAUUGCUUUGUAUUUUCAUAUGAUUUUCUCCAGGAAAAUAAAAUGUGUUUCUGUGAGAGUAAGAUGAAGACAUCGUGACAGUGAGGCACAGGAGGAUGCCUCUGCUAAGGGGAUUCAGCAGGCAUUCAACACACCUCUUAGCAACUAAGGAGUUCUUCCCAAAGUUGUUUAGUUGUAUUAAGUCCUUCCGCAUCCUCACAGGCUGGGAGGAACUGCAUAUAUUUAAGAUAUGCUCUAAGUCAGUUAACUUCCAGGCAGUAAGGAACCCUCACCUGCUCAUUUCACAGGGAAAAAAAAAAAAGCCCACAAUAGAAAACACCAUGUGCGUGUUGACAUCCUGCUUGUGAACCAAUAUUGUCACAAGCAAGAGGUGGGAAAGAGCAGGCCAAUUAAUGAAUGUGAACUGACUUACACUUAGCUAAAAUUAGGUACAAUAUCCUGUCUGAAGUUAUUACAAUUAACUAAAUAAAUACACCUUCUCAGUUAAUUAUUUUUGUAAUACCCUUGUGCCUAGAGGCCACAUUUGAGACUGAGAGCCAUCCGCACUAAGCGCUGCAUGCACACCCAGUGAAGACAGCCCAGUCUUGAACAGCUUGCUGUUCACAUAGAGGAAAAGGACUAAAGAACGAAAUCAUUCUUUAUUAUCUGUGUUACAGAAACAGACCUAGAGAAACCGAAUCCUCUUGCCCAACACCAUAUAAGAGUUAUUUGGCAGGACUCAGAAGCAAAGAGAGAAGAUGGGUACCCAAUUUAUUCCCUAGCACAAACAACAACGUCGUCUUUUACCAGAAGACUUCUCAUACAUGGGAUAGUUCUGGACUCUUGUUUCUCUACAUUGCAUUCAUUCUUUUUUGAAUGCAGCACAGCAUGUCAUAGCUAGAGCUGUUGAUUUCUCCUGGCUCCAUCCAUCUCACCUGUGUGAAACACAGCUAUUCUAUAAUGAUGAAUGAUGCCUUACUCGCAAAAAUUCAAGGCCUCAAGCUUACAUGUCUGUGAACAUACAGUUUCUGUUGGCUGCUUUCAAUUGCUUGAGUUCACAUUUGUCCUUCCUCAAAUCUAGAUACAUUACACCAUUACACCUUUUUGUAAUGAUGAAUAAGCUAUGUAGCAAAAACCUUUAAAGUAUAAUGGCAAGGGGAGUAAAUGUGUUUUUUAUAUAUAUGUAUAUAUAUCCAGAAAUAGCCUGUUCUUUCAGGUUAAAGUGGCUGUCCAGUAUAGCAUCACCUCUUGGAAAUAAGCCCCAAAAACUUACUUUUCUAGCAAACACUUUGUCUUCAAUAACUAAGCUACUGUUGUCACCAUUAGCAUCUCCUGAACAGUUUACACCACAUACUUGUGCACAUAGGAAAUAAAAUCAUCAAAGCAGAAACUGAACUGCUUGCUGGCUCCUUCUGCCUGCUGAAGAAAAAGGUUUAGACAUCCACAGAAAUACAGUGUGGCCGGUGUGUGGUGACUUGACUCUGUUUUAAGAGACCUCCUGCAGUGACAUCAUCCAGCAUCACAGCUCUAAAGCUUUGGCCUUUCCCUCCUCCGACACGAAGCAGUGCAGUGAUGUGACUAGCAGACACUUCUCAAUGUUUCUUUUCUCUUUAUCUGCUGAAAGCAGAUCUCAUAAGGAGACUGAAAAUCAUGAGGUUUUGAAGUGCUAUUCCUACAACUUUACCAAAGAACCUCAAAUUCGUGAACCAGGCUUUGACGGAUACAUUCUGCAGUCAAUCAGCUAUACUUGUGGAUUUGAGAAGGUUUGAAAAUUUGGCCCAAAAUAAAUGGUCUGUUCUUCUUGUAAUCUUAACUGUGGAGUUAGUGUAAUGAAUCAGCAAAGAAAAUUUAUUUUUCCAGCAGUUUAGCUAUUAAAUAUGACUUUCUGUGAGUCCUUGAGGCUGCCCAGAGCUUCCAACAAGUCAACCUCUGUGCCAUCUUCCCAGCCAUAAAAUUGUUUUCUGCUUCUUUGCCAGGCUGAAUGUUCUAGGAAAAGCCCAACAGACAAAUUACAGAUCGAUGAACAAAACAAUUAUUUUUCCCAAAUAGCCACAUGCCUGAAAGAAAAUCUUUCUUUAAAUAGCAUGGAUGUAUAAUUUGAAUUCAUUCAUAUUUUAUAGUUCCGGAAUAUUUGUUUACCUGAAACCCUGCAGCUUUCAGAACCAUAUUGUAAAGCAAUGAAAAAGACCAGCGGCAUUGGUGGCCUGGGCAUCUUCCUUUCUGAAGUUUCCUGGCUGACAGCAUGAAAAAAAAAAGAGUCCUCUGUGUUUGAUGAAUGCAAGAACCAGGUUUGUAAGCAUGGAAAGAGCCUUUAGAAACACAAGUGAGGUUUUUAUCCCUGGCCCCAGUGUCAUCCAUCUUGGAAAGCUUUCUGUUUUUAUUAUUUUAAACAGGUCAGCAACAGUAAGAUGGGAAACUAGAUUUCAAAACAGAUGUCUCUGCAGCGCUUCAUCAAAACAUUGUAUGAUUUCAGACGGAAAUUUAAUAUUGGAUGCCUUGCACAUUACCUAACCUGUUGGGGAUAUGAACCCCCAGCCUCUGAAACAGCAGCACCCCUAUUUCAGCAGCCGUGCUGCUUUGUCCCAUGCCAGCUCAUCACACAGAGGCUGGAUGAGGCUCCAAGCACCCUAAUCUAGCUGUAGGUGUCUCUGUUCAUUGCAGGGGAGUUGGGAUAGAUGACUUUUAAAGGCCCCUUCCAACUCAAAUGAUUUCAUGGCUCACCACACACCUCCAGCACCCAGCUCUUGCAGGUUGGGGCUGGGGGUCUCUCCACUUUACUGCUCCCCACAGGGCACAGAUUUUGGUCCCCAACACCAUGGCUAGUCCCUUCACAUCUGGGGUACAGCCCAGUAGCUGUUUUUCUCUCUCCUGUGCCUGUGGAUGGCAGAAGCACACUCUGGCCCCCCAUAGCACUGCAUGCCGACGCUCUGUCUCUAGGAAAGUAAUUUGGGAAGAACAACAAAGACUUCUUCAGAGAACUUCCUUGCAGAGAAGGUUGUGGUUGUCUUGCUAGCUCUCAAAAUUAAAACUACGUUUCAGUCAAAAAAUGCCUAUUCAGACUGACAUCAAAGGGAAAAACGUGAGCAGGUCAAGGAGUUUAAUUUCCACGGCACUCGUGAUUCACAUGUAGGGCUCGGUAAUGACUUACUGCCCACUGGCAAAAGAAAACUGUGAAUGAAGAGAGAAGUGAGGCAGACGAACGGCGCGGUGCCGCUUUCAGCCAGCAGUGCAGUGCUGUGGCCCAGCUCUUCAUCUGCAGCAGCCUUGGUGAGGAUGGCAGAGAUGCCCCUGCCCAAGGGUGUCACCCCAGGUGCCCCCCGGUGUGCUGGUGCCUUCACCCCCUGUCACCCUCUAGAGAGCAGGUUCCUUUCAGACACCUCAAGCCAGAAACAUUUGGGCCCUUCUGAAAAGCUGGGUCUCAGGCCGUGCAUCUCAAACCCUGCUCUCAUACCAGCAUUUAAACCUUUAGAUAUCUCCAGUUAAGGUGAAGGACUAUGUCUCAAGGUAUGAAGGCGGGAGGUAUGUAAACCUUUUAACAGUGUCUGUAUGUUCUCCUACUACUCCUUAUUUGCUUUUCUCAUGGGACGAUCCAACAAGGCAUUACAGGCUGUUGAUAAAUAGAUUUUCAGCCCAUUUCGUUUAACCAUUACUGCAUUUCCAUAUCAAAGAUUUUACACUUGGCAUGCCCAAGCCUAUUUUAUUUGUAAUCUUUUCUCAAAUGAGAAGUUUGGAAUGUUUUUUCAUUAUGUGUUUCAUCUGCAGCACACUGCCUUGGUGUUAUUUUUGAGAUGAGAUCUUUUACUCUACCUCGAGUCAUUCUACAACUCGUCGGCUUUUAUUUAUUCUGGCCUCCCAAUCUAACAGAAUUUCUGUGUUGAAACUUGUUGCUAUUUUUUUCCAGGGAUACACCGUACGAUGUUAAGCCUGUGCUGUGUAUCAAAGUGCAAAUAUAAACUAGUUGAUAGUCUCUGGUCACACCCUGGUAGGUGUGGCAGUUGGGAAUUUUUCACUUUCUGGCUGGAGAUCAGAAUGUGCUUAGCAUGGUUCCCCAUCCAGCAUCUUGGUCGGGAGGGGACUGGCUGCCUUCUGCAUGCAUGUUGUUUGAAGGGUUGGGAGCCACAUAGUUGUACCACUUCCAAAAGCAGAUUUUUACUUGUUUGGCUAUAUUUAGAGCUGCAAUCGGGAGAUCUGAGGGUAUGAUAAUCCAGUGCCUCACUGUCUUUCUCCUUCCUCUCGUUCUUUCUCCCUGUCACUUUGGGGGUGAGAGGAUGGACCAAGCAUAGCUCUAGUGUCAGCCUCCAGCAUGGUGCAGAACUGCGCUACUCCAAGAGAAACUCCAAGGAGGAAGUGUGACUCAGAGAGCUGCAAUUCCUUCCACGGUUCCUCCUUGCUCCAGCCGGGGAAGUAAGUUACUUCAAUAUUUGUGCUGCUAGAGUACAGCUUGCUUCCGCCCCGCUGCUUGCAAGCCCCAGCUUGCAGAACGCAGAGAGAGAAUGCUCUGAGCCAGAACCUGCAAAAGGUGGCUUGCCUCCUUCUGCUCCUUGGCUGCCCAUGUGAGACAGGGACCAGUCCUGCCCUAGAUGAGGUUUCACUGCAAGGAGUCACCUCAAAGCCAUCUGCCUAAACUGGCCUUCCAGUCAUUCUGCAGAGAUGCACACCGCUGGCUGUCUUGUCAGGCAUCAUUUACAUUAAUAUCACAAACAGCACACUACCUGUGAGACGACUUCAUGCUGUCUUUUUCUACCUAGAUUGCCCACUUUUCUGCUCCAUUUUCAUAGUCUUUCGUACAAUUAGACAAUCCCUAUCAGAGUAAUGCACAGCUCACCAGACACUUGCCUCUCAGAUAAUCUAUUUCCCACUGACUUAUUUUCCAUCACAAUUAUUCAUUAUUAUACCCAGAGACUGGCAAAGGAUUUGCAGGUAAUAAUUCCCUUGCCAAAACAAAAACGCUAAUAAGGGUAUUUGUAGGGAAACAUUCAUAAUCAGUGUUUCUUCAUUUGGAGUGCAAUCAUAAGGCCCAAGAACACCAACUGGUAUGUGACUUAUUUGCAAACGAUACAAAGGACUCCUCACCUGCCUCACAUACUGCUUAGCAGCAACACACUUUGGAAAACCAUAUGAAGUUCAUAGCUUUUUUUACACACACACACACACACACACACACACACACACACCCCUCUUCAUGCAGAAAUACUGCACUACAAGGAGACCUUUCACUGGGGACACUUUAAAGACAUUCUGAUAUGACAGCCAAAGGUUGUGUUAAUUGAGACAGUGUCAAACAAGAGUAGAUGAUGAUGAAUACUUCAGUGAUGCACAGGUCUGAAAACUAAAAAAGGUCAGAAAAACAAGAGAGGACAAAACUCAUCCAUAAGCACAUCAACUAGAUGGUCCAGGUAGGAAUAAAACCACCAUGCUUGUUGCUGUACCCUCCAAGGUUACCAGGGAGAGGUUUUCAGGAAGUAUUUUGCAGUUAAAAAAAAAAAGAAGAGUAAGAAUCAACUUGAGAAAAUAGGUCCGUUCCUCACAUGUUCAGCAGCACAGAAAUGCACACUCAUAUACACAAUCAUACUUCCUGCCUGAGUGAUAGCAAUCUCCAAAAUAGCCCCUGAAAGAAGAUUCAGGCUAUUGGACCAGCUGCUGCUUUCAGUGAAGUGGACUGAACAUAGGUCUGAAUCCCACUCUAUGUGGGAUUUUGUGUACCAACACGUAUAAAGCUCAUCCUUGUGUUAGAAGAUUUGAAUGGCACCAGUGCUAAUUCAGCUGUCCACCUGGCAAGCAUCUAGAGAGACACACACAGAAAGAGAAGCACUACUCAUUUGAGUCUUCACUCCUAGACUGGAAAUAACUGAUGUAAGUGAAGCGUGCAGUGCAAGUGUGCAAAAGUUACUUUCAUUUUGCACCAGUAUAUUCAGGAAUUUUAAAUAAGCUCAGUUAAAAUGAUCAGUUGAACUACUUUGACAGUGUUGUAAGAAAUCCUUAUGUGGCUAAUUCUUAAAUGUCAUCAGACAGCAGACCAAUUGUGCUCAAGCGCACAUUGUUACCCCAGGUAGCAGAUAACUUCCUGUGUUGAAACGAUGGCUUGAGAGUGAUAUACUUGCAGACAAGGAAAUAUCAUCUUCCAGUCCUGCUGUGUCUUAAAGUGAUCUACGAGAACUCUUUCUAGCUCGGUGCCUGUGUUUAGCCAAGGUAUUAGACGCAUUCAGGAUGUAUUAAACUCAUACACCUUCUAAAUUACAUGAUACAUGGAGUUCACACAGCUAGCUAAUUCAGUCAGAUGUGUAGUGCUAACAAUAACCAAAUAUAUCCAAUGUUACUUGUCUAGCUAUGGAAUAAAUAUGCUUGAUGGUGCUUAAUUAUACAGAUAUGUAAUGGGCACCUUCACCGCUUUCUAUAGUUAAAAUCCUGUUCCCAAUGCUUAGUAAUAUGGAACAACACUUUUGAAGUGGAGGAAUACUUUGGAAUAAAAAUCAUUCCUAUUUCACACUUUGGCACUCUGAACACAUAAUCCAAAAAUAGGGGAACGGAACCUUCAGCGGAUCAAAUCACGCACAGAACAGAAGUAUACUGGAAAUAAUUCCAUAAAGUCAACUCCCAGGACAAUGGGAUCGUCCCCAGUAAGUACUGCUUCAGCAACACUGGCUGAAUGAUUCACUGUGAGCAAUUCAGUGAAAAUAUCAGUGUUUUGUACAGCCUUCCUUUUUCUUUUUCUCCACGUUCCUCUUUCUCUUCCUCAUCUUCUUUUUAACCUUUUCUACCUCCCACCUUCUGUUGCCGCACAUGCAAGACCUAAGGAGCUAAAUGAACACAUACACAAGAAACAGAUGACAGAGCAGUUUGGCAGAAUGAAACAACCCAUGAGUAUAGAAGAUGGUAAAACAUCAAUAAUCAGUAUUGACAUCAGACAUUAUCAAAGAAAGGGUUUAUGCCCUGCAUUGUUUCAGUUCCUGAGAACGCCUCUUGCCUUCCACAUUGUAAAAUAUAGCCCAAACAAAAUGCAGCUAAGAAAAAGGGAAAAUUCUUCUCUACAUAGGAUUUAAUACUGCACCCAUCACUGCAGUAUCUGAGAGCAAGAUAUUCUAUUGCGGGCGUGGUGCAAAGUUCAUGGAAUAUCAAGUGUUGGUAAUCUGUGCUCUGAGCCUGUGAAUGUACGUGCAAAUGGAUCAGAUCCACAGCUGGCAUCUGUCUGGCUCCAGAUCUGGUCCAGUAAGUUUCUAAAGAGUAGUUCAAGACAGACCAUUGAAAACUUCCAAAGAAAGUCCCAGAGCACAUGACAGAAAUGGCCAAGUGGGACAGCACAGUAGAAGAAAGAAAUCCUGUGGGUUCAUUUCUUUAAAGCAUAAAAGUCAUUAAUCAUUUCUAUUCCUUUCCAUUCAAAACAGCUGCCUGCCCACAUUUGCUAAGUAACUGCUUUCCUAACCACACAGAAACUAGGCUGCGGGCCCCAGAAUGCUCAUGCUUCCAGAUAUUAAUAAAUAUUUCCCUCUUUCACUGUGUCAAUGAGAGCACAUUAGCAUCCUCAGCAUCUGGUUUUAGUCGUGAAAUAAUAUGUUAAUGUCUCCACACUUGGCGAAUUCCUUCCAAAAAAAAUCCUUCUUAGUGCUUAUCUUUCAGCUGAGGCUUCAGAAGCUCAAAAGCAUGGCUUGAAAACCUCAGUGGCCUUCUACCUGUGAUGCAGGACAGCACUCUUUGUCAAGUUAGAAAUGAUCUCUUUGAUCACACUCAUUUGUUUGUCUCCUCAUAGAGCUGAGUUACGCUUCCCACGUGAGCCCUUCGCUUCAAAAAGUCCACUGUCAUCCCUACAGGCUACUGCAAUUAGUGAAAUGCCAGCCAGCAGGUGGAGACGCAUGAAAGCAAUCUCAAUUCAUAGACAGGCUGCUUUGACAUUUCAUUCCCAUAGCCCUGGCCAAGCACUAGAGCGGGCCAGAGCCAGAGAAUAUAGCUAUUGGUUUCAUGGAAAAGUUCAGAAUUAAAAUCUUGGCUGGCUGACAAACAUGUGACAGAGCAGCUUCUCCAGCAUGACUGCUGCACACAAAGCCGCACUGGCGAGCCGUCCCGGCAGCACCUUUCAUGUACAACGCAGGGAGGGGAGCCCGCUGCUGCCUUCCUCCUGACCUCGCCUCAUUCACUCUGCUCAGCAGUGCCGAGCUGUCAGCAUCAGCUGUGCCGAGCCAUACGAGGGGCCACGCAUGCCAUGCCUUGUGUGCUCACGUUUGGCCUCGUGCCGGGCGAGGGUGGGCUCUGGUGGCUCAGCACCCAGAUGCGUUCCCACCUAUCUGCUGUGGAAGCUCAGCCCGAGAUGGCACGAAACAGCUUUGCUUCCUCUGCUCCUCUCCUAACUCCUCCCACCCAGCGCUUCCUCUUUCAGAGUGGAAACAUCAUUGUAAUAGCUAUUUCUGAAACGUCCCUGCCAAAAAUCAGGAAGCACAGAGGAAUACUUCAGGGCGAGGAGGGGGAAAAGGUAUCUCGCGAGUUAUUUCGGGAGUAGGGAAUUUGUUUACAUUAGUUUGGGAGGAAAGCCGAGGCUAAUCCCGUGUUGUCUUCAGACCAAUCAUUACGUUUCCAGCUCAAGUCUCUCCGUGCUUUAGGAACUAAACUCUCUAUGCUUUUAGAGACGUGGUUUAACGGGCAAUACUGGUGGCAUGUGGGUGGUUGGACUAGAGGAUCUGAGAGGUCUUCUCCAACCUUAAUGAUUGUAUGAACUGUAAGAAGCUGCAGAAGCGGGUCUGCAGAACACCACACGUGAAUGAGUCAUCUCCAGUGGAAGUACGCCUGUGAUGGGAGCUGUGCCUAAAUGCUGUGCUGAAGUAAAGCACGUGCAUGGAGAUGAAGAAAGAAGGAAGGAGACUGUGUAAAAUUAAUAAAGCUUAGAAUCUCAGCAAAAAUCUGCAAGCGCUUUGAAUCAUUUCAGUGUUUGAACACAGCAUACAAACAAACAGCAUUCAUCAUGAAGAUACUGAAAACAGUGACCCCCUCCGCAGGUUCGGACCCCUCAACACUGUAAUAAUCUGUGGUGAGUUAUCAGAGCUCCCUUGAAUGAGAAGGACGCUUCAAACCUUGCAAAAAAAAAUCAACUUCAGUGCUUCUAAAGAAAUGCAUUUUGCAGCUUUUUCCACUCUUUUGGAUUCUUCUCCUCCCCCUUCUACCUCUCUUGCACUCUUCUCCUUGGAGAGCAGAGUUUAACAUGCCAUUGAGGAGAUAGCCCGCAUGCAAAGUCCCUCAAACAUAAACACACUUAAAGAACAGAUUCAUCACAGCAGGCUUCCAAAUGUGGAAACCACAUUCCAUCUGCACCCUUAUCCAAUGGUCAUUAGCUUAGAUCUUGAAUGGACAUUACUUAAAGCAAAGAUUAUAAAAACAUACAUACUGCUCAACAGUGAUUCAUCAGCUUCCAAGCUCUGCAAUUGAGCUCAGAGUGACUCAGGCUGGGGACUUCUGGAAUGUGCUGCAGGAAUUUGCUGCACUGAGUCUGCAAAGCUGCCUUCAGAUGGUUUCUCUGGCAACUCAGGACAUUUCAUUGAACUCAGGUAUUCUGCAUUUGUUGUCCUUGUCAACAUUUGUGAUAAAAAAAAACUCUUGUUAAGACCCCAGCCCUGAUUUUUCUGCUCAGGUUUGCAGCACUGUAACAUCAGUGACUCCUGUGCUGCCAGCUCUGCAGAGGGCUCAGCACCCACAUCAGCACACUGCUCAGGAGCUACGGAUGACAAUGGUCUCACAUACACAGCCCGGCGAUAAGGUAAAAGUCUACAACGUGUUGAUGUUGAUGUGAGAUGAGGAUGCUCAGCACUUCAGAAAACCAGGCCCUAAGCAAAAGAGGGGAGGGCACUCAGGCCUUUUCAGCAGGCUCUGGGAGCAGAGCUCACCUUGUCACACCUGGCGGCAGAGAGCUGCACAUCAGCUGCUCAUUCACACCCCCCUAGUAGCAGAUGGGAAGAAACAGCACCCGCAGGCUCUGGUUCAUCCUAACUAUCUCAGAUAUUUAGGAGAAGGUGAAUUGUACUCUUAGUACCUUGUGCUAUGGUGAGUAGUUCAGUUAUCACUGCUUACACUAUUCGUAUCUACCUUUGCUCAGCUGCAUCCCAUGUCUCAAUACCUCUCUCAGUAUGUCCUUAAGCCCACGAUAAUUCCACCUCAGGCCAUUGUCAGGAUUUAUACAAAUCACCUCAAGCCUUACUUCUACUUAUCUCAAAGGCACUUUGAUAAAGGAGCACAUUCAAUGAUUAAAAAAAAACCAACAUUGGUCACCUGGUGACGAUGCAACAUUCACCACACACUAAAAGCAACCCCUUCAGGUUUCACUUACAUUAAUAUUUAGGUAUCGGCAGGAAGUGAUGUUCCAAUAUCAUGACUUGGUGAUGUGUUUAUGAUCUGCUGCAUGGACUCAUUCACUGUAAAACAGAAAAAGAUUGUUUAUCAGAUAAAAAAUGGUUAUAGUACAAACCAAAAUGAAGGAAGUACUUUUCUUGUUGAAAUAUUAAGUGAUCUGUUUGGUGCUCCUGCCUUAAAUAGUCUGAGCUUCCCUUAAAAAUUAAAACAUGAAAUUCUCUGUUAUUUGUUUUGAUGCUGUCUUACUAAGAAGUCACAGAGCCUCUUACACUGAAUCCUGUCCUUUACGUCAGUUCUUUUUUUUUUAACUGUGUUUUGCAAAUUCAAACUUCAUCAACCAAACAAAUCUCCCAUUUUGACUACAGAAAAUCUACAAUUGAAUCUGAAUUUUGUAUGUUGGGUUACUCUCUGCUUCCUGUUUGAGAGCACAGUUAUGGCACCCACUUGCAUGAGUUCAUAACUAAUUGAAAUGCUUGCGACAUGAGUAUGUGCUAAACAGAGGAAUUUAACAAAAAAGUUACUACAAGUUGAAGCAAUAAAAUCUUAAAGAGUUAAAAACAGCUCAUUUUUUUCCCCAAGUUGCUCAAGCUAGGAGUUGUUUGCAAUGCACAGAGCACAUCUGGGACUUUAUUCCCUUUUGCAGCGUCCUAUAUACGUAUCUUUUUAGAUUUUAGAAUGCGACAGAGAUCCACGCAGUGAAGCUUGGUGCAGUGAUAUGAAACUCUCUCAGUGAUUUUCAAAAUAUGCAACCCAUAAAUCAUUCACCUUAACCCGGACCCGAAUUUGCAUAAAACCAGAGUCAAUCAUCUCAAAAGGUAAUUUACUCAAAGCCCAAACAAUCCCAGCUGUGUGAAGCACAUAACAAAGUUAUGAAGGUAGGAUUCACAUGGCUUCAGGGUUUGUAAUGGAUGCUUUGCACAGCUGUAAUGAUGAGUGGGUGAGGAUAGUUAAGAAUGAAUGAAGUGUGGGUGGUGGAAAUAUUCACUGGGCAUGUCACGGCCAGAGGAGGAAACACAGGGGCCUCCCAGCCUCCAGGAUGGAAAGGACGUCAAGGCUCCAUGGACAGGGGUCCUACUUAUUUAUUUAUUUCAGCCCUGACACAUUCUCAUUAGGAAGGCAAAAAUGUGAAAUCGAUAGUUUCUCUUGAAUGCAGGAAGCCGACUGUGGCUGCGCAGCAGAGCUGUCUUAUAAUCUGCUUCCAAACGUGUGGGUGCCUCUUGGGUUUCCUCAGAGAUUUUAUGGACCGGUUUCAAAGUUUUCUGUAAAUUCAGGCCAACAAUGUCUGCAUCCCCUACCACAUCAGUCAAAAAUCAGACUGUGCUUCAGAGUCAUGUAAAUUCCUUCUAUAAGAAACAUUUACAUUUUACAAAAUGAAAACUGAGCAGACUACUUCAUGAGGUGAAUUCACCCCUGGUUUGUCUCCCUUGUUACAGUGCAGUUACCACAGGGAUAGGUUGACUAAUAGGUUACCAUUAACAAACAGAAAAAUGAGUAGCACGUAUAACCGAACAUUACAAAGGUUUCGCCCAGGAUUGCCAUGGCACAUGAUAAGAUGGCACAUUGAUAAGAUACUUCAUUCUUACCGUUCCUGAAUUUUCAUGAGACCUUAUCUGUAACUCCGCAAAACCCGAAGCCCGGUUUAUAUUUCUUUAUGGCAUUAUUAUAGGGCACUGUAAGUGUAAUAAAACAAUCUGCUAACUGUUCUCCUUGACUGCUCAUAUUCAUUGCUCCUAGACAGGUUUUCUUGCACAUAUGGUAAAAUAUAUACAACAACUUUCAUAUCUAAGGUCCUAGUAAUUUAAACACAGUCCAUUUCUUUAUUGGCAAAAUAUUCUUUGUAGUUACGACUUGAUUAGGCUGG